CCAACGGCUCUUUUAAGAGCCACCCACGGUGUUAAAAUAAAAUAGG
Molecule: non-coding RNA, 46 nt
Organism: Struthio camelus australis
Lineage: Eukaryota; Metazoa; Chordata; Aves; Struthioniformes; Struthionidae
Source: Rfam